AAACUUUCAACAACGGAUCUCUUGGCUCUGGCAUCGAUGAAGAACGCAGCGAAAUGCGAUAAGUAAUGUGAAUUGCAGAAUUUAGUGAAUCAUCGAAUCUUUGA
RNAcentral lists this ribosomal RNA (104 nucleotides) under Erysiphe sp. HE. RNAcentral describes it as "5.8S ribosomal RNA". It matches the Rfam family "5.8S ribosomal RNA", at positions 1 to 103 of the family's 154-position model. From Rfam's summary of the family: 5.8S ribosomal RNA (5.8S rRNA) is a component of the large subunit of the eukaryotic ribosome. It is transcribed by RNA polymerase I as part of the 45S precursor that also contains 18S and 28S rRNA. RNAcentral also lists the same sequence under 10 other names. Lineage: Eukaryota; Fungi; Ascomycota; Leotiomycetes; Helotiales; Erysiphaceae. The record is from RNAcentral.